RNAcentral lists this long non-coding RNA (3088 nucleotides) under Nicotiana benthamiana. RNAcentral's name for it is "long non-coding RNA (NBEN_LNC029337)". Lineage: Eukaryota; Viridiplantae; Streptophyta; Magnoliopsida; Solanales; Solanaceae. The record is from RNAcentral.
CCCCGCCAUCACCCUCUCUUUUCUCUCUCAAACGCUCUUUACCUAAAUUCUAAUCCUCAGACGCUGUCACCGCCUUAGCCCUCCGUCCUAUAAUGUUUCUUUGUUGUCUUAAGCCUAUUCUAGCCUCCUUCUUGCUAUGGUUCAUCAGUUUCGUAAGAUCCUUUAGAAGAUCUCAAGGGACCUAGACGGUCUGGUUUGCACAUUUGAUUUCUUUGUAUGUUUUAAGUUGUUCGCUUGAUCAUGAGUAAAAAGCCUUUCUUAUUUUGCUAUGAAUCUAUGGUUUUCUCGGCCUGUGUUCUCGUCUCUGUUAUACAUUCUACAUGACCCUAAUUUAUUAUCUCUGAUUUUCUCAGGUAUGUACAGAUCUGAGAUGAAUCUAACAUAUUUCAUAUGUUUUCCUUAAAAGUUUUCAGGUUUUCAACUGAUUUUUUUAUUUUUUUGUAAACCAUGGUUUACAAUAAGAUAUCUUCUCAAAGGGUUUAAUGCUUAAUCAUUUGUUCUUAUGUGUUCUCGACUACUUUAGUAUAACGCUGCUUAAGCCUUAGUCGAUUUAUGUGAAAACCCUAAUUUUCUUAUGUUUUGCUUUGGUUCUGAGUAUUCCCAUGUUACGCAUUACAUUACUUCAUUCUCUAUUUUGACUUACAUGUUUUUCCUUAGUCAGAUUCAUUGCUUUGUGACUUUUACCCUAAUUAAAUCCAAUUAGGGUUUCAGAAUUAUUUUCUGUCUAAUUUCUCUAUGUUUACAGAAUUUUACUUAGCAUAUCUUCUAUUUCUGGAAGUUGGUAACUUUUCAGAAAUUAAUAUCACUUUGAAAUUCUAAUUGACUAAUUCUCGAUUAUUUCCUUGUUUAUGACCUUAACUACUCUUCUUACCUUAUUUUUAUUGCCUAUUAUAUUUAUUGAUCCAUUAUGUGAUUAUCUCCUUAAUUAGACUCCUAAUUUCACUCUUUGCUCAAGUCUGAUUUGAACUUCUUUCCUUAAAUAUUUCUUGUCCUUAUCAUUGGUUAAUUACCUUUAAUUAAGGGAAGACUAUAUUGAUUUUCUUCAUGUAAUUGAUUCUGUGAUCCUCCCUUGAUUGACUGAAGUUGGUACUGUUACCUUAUUUGCACUACCUUUGAACUACUAUAUAAACUCCUCUGUUUUACUUCUUAAGGGAUGAGCGCAAGUUCAAAGAACACACACUCACACUCAAACUCUUUUUUCAUUCUCUACUACGUAUGGUACUCUUGAUCUAGCUGGUUUAAAGCCAAGGCUAGAUAUUGGAACUACACCUACUUUAUAUUCUACACUCUUUUUUUCAACUAGUAUGUCUCUUAUUAAAUUUUGAACCCAAACAUUAUGUGUUUCAUUCCUGCACUGACUAUGAAUUCAACCUGUCUUCCUGUUUACUUUAUUGCUUAGCAUGUUUGAAUUCUAUGAUGUUCAAUGUAUAACUAGUAUUCCAACACUUGACCUGGUUAUCUGAUACUUGACCAGCCUGUUUGUCGAUUUCUGCUUGAUCCCUUAAUUAUGUAAUCAUGUUGGUUACUUAGUCCAUAUGAUUGACUAUAGUUGUGUGCCUGAUUUUGCCAGUGCUUCUUUGAUUUCAACAUGGCUAUAUUACCUACCACCAGGACUAACUUGUUAAUUCGAUAUGCUCCUAAGUGUUCUAUGGAUUUUUCUAUCUAUAUGUCUCCUUGAUCCCUGUCAUGUGUUCUCUUAAUAUGAAUCCUAUGUGUCUCCAAUCCCUUUAUCCGUGUGUGAGAUCUGUUUAUUUCUGACUCUGGGUGUUUUAUGACCAAUUGAUCGUUUGUUGUUUGUAAAAGUGUUUUGGUACUCUUCUGAAACUGUUUUUCACUACCAAACUAGUUUCUAUUUCAGAAAAAAAAAUUCACUCCUAGAGUCGUCUCUAUAAUGUUUCCACUAAAUCUUUCAAACAAUAUCAAUUGCUCUCACUUUACUCUUAGAUCAUUAGUUUCUGCCCCUCAAAUGUGUGUGCAGGCUUGGAAUCCCUUGAAAUUUUUUUGAACUUUGGCACACUGGGCUGCCCUUCCACACUGCAAAUAACUAGUCCCUAUUUUAAGAAAGGUCUUGGUGUGAGCACUGGCUGGGAUCCUUGAGGUUCUUAGGGAACUCUGACACACUUGGACACUUAUUGGACAUGAUAUGCUUGGCACUUGUGACUACAUAGAAGGCCUGGUACUCAAAGGUUUACAUUGGGCCUGCUUCAGGCUCCCUAUAGGAUAAGUUCACAUUUCAUUUAUGUAAUUUACAAUACUGGUCUGUAAUAAUCCUUUAUAAACAGAUAUUGGGGUAACUAGUAAAAAAAUGAGGUUAGAUAUAUGAUUCAGUGGGUUAAACUAGGUAGAAACCAUGUUUUAGAUUUUAUAUUAUGUUAAGUUGAUGUAAAAAUUAUGUUCUAGGUUUGUAUGAUGCAUCAUAUAUCAUCAUUUAGCAUUGCUAUGCAUAUUCGCAUUAUACCAUGCUAAAUUCGUGUAUUAGAUAACCUAUCUUAGGACAAUCAUGUUUACUACUUCUGCAUAUUACAUGUUAUAGUUCAUCACUUCACUUUUGAUUCUUCAUAAGUCACUAUCACAUAGAAAUUCUGCUAUUAAGUUAAUAAUACUACUUAAUAAAAUGAACUUCUUUAUGUGCAAAAGCAAUCCUGCCUCAGGACCCUAUUUACAUCCGCUUUAUACCAUGUCUAUAUCGUCAAACAACAUUCUAUUAAAGGGAUUAAAAAAGCCCCAACACAUAGAUAUCACGUUCUACUAUCAACAUGCCUAAAAUCAGUUAUGGUCACUUAGAUCAGCAUGCCUAUAGGACAAAAUAACUUCAAGUUGUUUAAUUAAUUCCCCAGAUUAUGUUUGCAUACAGACACACGCCUGUUGAUACUCAAUUUUCUCUAUAUAUUUUAAUCCACAAAAUACAUUUAAAAUAGCAUGUACAUGCCCAGGAGUUUUUGAUUUUUUUUAAAGAUUUUCAAAAUUUAUUUAUUGCCUGUUGUAGCAGUACGAAGUCCAAAUUUAUUCCCAAGAUUAUCAUUUUUGUGAGUAAUUUAUUUUUAUUCCCAUAUUUACGCUAAAAUAUAAUUAAGAUAAUUUUCAUAUA